UACGUAGGGGGCAAGCGUUGUCCGGAAUCAUUGGGCGUAAAGAGCGUGUAGGCGGCCAGAUAAGUCCGCUGUGAAAUCUCGAGGCUCAACUUCGAGCUGUCGGUGGAAACUGUCUGGCUAGAGUCCGGAAGAGGAGAAUGGAAUUCCUGGUGUAGCGGUGAAAUGCGUAGAUAUCGGGAGGAAUACCAGUGGCGAAGGCGACUUUCUGGGAUAUUCCUGACGCUGAGGAGCGAAAGCGUGGGGAGCAAACGGG
This 253-nucleotide ribosomal RNA is filed under the name uncultured bacterium. RNAcentral describes it as "partial 16S ribosomal RNA". It matches the Rfam family "Bacterial small subunit ribosomal RNA", at positions 524 to 776 of the family's 1533-position model. The record is from RNAcentral.